This 429-nucleotide ribosomal RNA is filed under the name Actinomycetes bacterium. Its description in RNAcentral is "Actinobacteria bacterium partial 16S ribosomal RNA". It matches the Rfam family "Bacterial small subunit ribosomal RNA", at positions 355 to 776 of the family's 1533-position model. Lineage: Bacteria; Bacillati; Actinomycetota; Actinomycetes. The record is from RNAcentral.
UAGGGAAUCUUCCGCAAUGGGCGAAAGCCUGACGGAGCAACGCCGCGUGAGUGAUGAAGGUCUUCGGAUCGUAAAACUCUGUUAUUAGGGAAGAACAAAUGUGUAAGUAACUAUGCACGUCUUGACGGUACCUAAUCAGAAAGCCACGGCUAACUACGUGCCAGCAGCCGCGGUAAUACGUAGGUGGCAAGCGUUAUCCGGAAUUAUUGGGCGUAAAGCGCGCGUAGGCGGUUUUUUAAGUCUGAUGUGAAAGCCCACGGCUCAACCGUGGAGGGUCAUUGGAAACUGGAAAACUUGAGUGCAGAAGAGGAAAGUGGAAUUCCAUGUGUAGCGGUGAAAUGCGCAGAGAUAUGGAGGAACACCAGUGGCGAAGGCGACUUUCUGGUCUGUAACUGACGCUGAAGUGCGAAAGCGUGGGGAUCAAACAGG